RNAcentral lists this ribosomal RNA (319 nucleotides) under uncultured Klebsiella sp. Its description in RNAcentral is "bacterial SSU rRNA". It matches the Rfam family "Bacterial small subunit ribosomal RNA", at positions 355 to 665 of the family's 1533-position model. Lineage: Bacteria; Pseudomonadati; Pseudomonadota; Gammaproteobacteria; Enterobacterales; Enterobacteriaceae. The record is from RNAcentral.
UGGGGAAUAUUGCAGCAAUGGGCGCAAGCCUGAUGCAGCCAUGCCGCGUGUGUGAAGAAGGCCUUCGGGUUGUAAAGCACUUUCAGCGGGGAGGAAGGCGAUAAGGUUAAUAACCUUGUCGAUUGACGUUACCCGCAGAAGAAGCACCGGCUAACUCCGUGCCAGCAGCCGCGGUAAUACGGAGGGUGCAAGCGUUAAUCGGAAUUACUGGGCGUAAAGCGCACGCAGGCGGUCUGUCAAGUCGGAUGUGAAAUCCCCGGGCUCAACCUGGGAACUGCAUUCGAAACUGGCAGGCUGGAGUCUUGUAGAGGGGGGUAGG